AAAGCCGGGGCAACUCGGCGAGUACAGCGGCGGAAGGGUGCGUAAUACAUGGUUAACGUACCCCCCAGUUCGGGAUAACCCUCCGAAAGGUGGGCUAAUACCGGGUAAUGGCAACGGGUGGCAUCAUCUGUUGCUUAAAGCCGUAAGGCGCUGGGGGAGCGAACCAUGGCCUAUCAGCUAGUUGGCGGGGUAACGGCCCACCAAGGCAAUGACGGGUAGCCGGACUGAGAGGUUGAACGGCCACACGGGAACUGAGACACGGUCCCGACAUCUACGGAUGGCAGCAGUAGGGAAUCUUGCGCAAUGGGCGAAAGCCUGACGCAGCGACACCGCGUGGGGGAUGAAGGCCUUCGGG
RNAcentral lists this ribosomal RNA (355 nucleotides) under uncultured bacterium. RNAcentral describes it as "bacterial SSU rRNA". It matches the Rfam family "Bacterial small subunit ribosomal RNA", at positions 70 to 422 of the family's 1533-position model. The record is from RNAcentral.